This 512-nucleotide ribosomal RNA is filed under the name uncultured eukaryote. RNAcentral describes it as "partial 18S ribosomal RNA". It matches the Rfam family "Eukaryotic small subunit ribosomal RNA", at positions 82 to 545 of the family's 1831-position model. The record is from RNAcentral.
UGAAACUGUGAAUGGCUCAUUAAAUCAGUUAUGGUUCCUUUGGUCGCUCGCUCGUAUCCUACUUGGAUAACUGUGGUAAUUCUAGAGCUAAUACAAGCCGACGGGCGUUGACCCCCUUCGCGGGGGGGAUGCGUGCAUUUAUCAGAUCAAAACCAACCCGGUCAGCCCCUCUCCGGCCCCGGCCGGGGGGCGGGCGCUGGCGGGUAAGAUGAAUGUAGAUAACCUAGGGCCGAGAGCAAGCCCCCCGUGGCGGCGAUGACUCAUUUGAACGUCUGCCCUAUCAACUUUCGAUGGUAGUGGCUGUGCCUACCAUGGCGGUCACGGGUGACGGGGAAUCAGGGUUCGAUUCCGGAGAGGGAGCCUGAGAAACGGCUACCACAUCCAAGGAAGGCAGCCGGCGAGCAAAUUAGCCCCUUCCUACCUGGGGGGGUCGUUUCUAAAGAAAACCAUACAGGGAUCUUUCGAGGCCCUGUAAUUGAAAUGAGUCCACUUUUAAUCCUUUANCGAGGAUC